CAUGAUCCUGCUCUACAACAGCAUUGCUGUCCCCAUUUUAAUUCAAAACUCAGACAGAAAUGUUAGCUGUUGUAACCUUCAAUAUUAUUUGUGCUGAAGGUUUCCCACACAGACAAUAAAAAACAAGGAAUUAUCCAGGGGACACAACAUAAUCCAAAAGCCAUACCCAGAGAAGUCCAUGAAAAUGCGCGAACAUUUUAUCCUCACAGCCGAUAUGGAUCACGCAGAAAUUUACCCUGAGAAAUUAAAGCUCAUAUACGUAGGUAAUGACCCAAACUUCUUCAAAGUGUUCAUGGAAAAUCCAGACGGUCAUUUCCAGCUCACACUCAGACAUGAAUCUGACACAAUGUGGACCUCUGCAAUUCAAAAAGAUGACUAUCAAAACACUGGUGAUAUUCUGGUGAUUUAUGCUGACACACUGUAU
Etheostoma spectabile (orangethroat darter) is the source of this 424-nucleotide long non-coding RNA. RefSeq lists it as uncharacterized. The record is from RefSeq and is a predicted model, not a curated record. The transcript is spliced from 3 exons. Lineage: Eukaryota; Metazoa; Chordata; Actinopteri; Perciformes; Percidae.